RNAcentral lists this ribosomal RNA (721 nucleotides) under Salmonella enterica. RNAcentral's name for it is "partial 23S ribosomal RNA". It matches the Rfam family "Bacterial large subunit ribosomal RNA", at positions 1 to 764 of the family's 2925-position model. The record is from RNAcentral. Lineage: Bacteria; Pseudomonadati; Pseudomonadota; Gammaproteobacteria; Enterobacterales; Enterobacteriaceae.
GGUUAAGCGACUAAGCGUACACGGUGGAUGCCCUGGCAGUCAGAGGCGAUGAAGGACGUGCUAAUCUGCGAUAAGCGCCGGUAAGGUGAUAUGAACCGUUAUAACCGGCGAUUUCCGAAUGGGGAAACCCAGUGUGACUCGUCACACUAUCAUUAACUGAAUCCAUAGGUUAAUGAGGCGAACCGGGGGAACUGAAACAUCUAAGUACCCCGAGGAAAAGAAAUCAACCGAGAUUCCCCCAGUAGCGGCGAGCGAACGGGGAGGAGCCCAGAGCCUGAAUCAGCAUGUGUGUUAGUGGAAGCGUCUGGAAAGGCGCGCGAUACAGGGUGACAGCCCCGUACACAAAAGCGCAUGUGCUGUGAGCUCGAUGAGUAGGGCGGGACACGUGGUAUCCUGUCUGAAUAUGGGGGGACCAUCCUCCAAGGCUAAAUACUCCUGACUGACCGAUAGUGAACCAGUACCGUGAGGGAAAGGCGAAAAGAACCCCGGCGAGGGGAGUGAAAAAGAACCUGAAACCGUGUACGUACAAGCAGUGGGAGCACCCUUUGGGGUGUGACUGCGUACCUUUUGUAUAAUGGGUCAGCGACUUAUAUUCUGUAGCAAGGUUAACCGAAUAGGGGAGCCGGAGGGAAACCGAGUCUUAAUUGGGCGUUAAGUUGCAGGGUAUAGACCCGAAACCCGGUGAUCUAGCCAUGGGCAGGUUGAAGGUUGGGUAACACUA